GACGAACGCUGGCGGCGUGCCUAAUACAUGCAAGUAGAACGCUGAAGGAGGAGCUUGCUUCUCUGGAUGAGUUGCGAACGGGUGAGUAACGCGUAGGUAACCUGCCUGGUAGCGGGGGAUAACUAUUGGAAACGAUAGCUAAUACCGCAUAACAGUAGAUAUCGCAUGAUAUCUACUUGAAAGGUGCAAUUGCAUCACUACCAGAUGGACCUGCGUUGUAUUAGCUAGUUGGUGAGGUAACGGCUCACCAAGGCGACGAUACAUAGCCGACCUGAGAGGGUGAUCGGCCACACUGGGACUGAGACACGGCCCAGACUCCUACGGGAGGCAGCAGUAGGGAAUCUUCGGCAAUGGACGGAAGGCUGACCGAGCAACGCCGCGUGAGUGAAGAAGGGUUUCGGAUCGUAAAGCUCUGUUGUAAGAGAAGAACGAGUGUGAGAGUGGAAAGUUCACACUGUGACGGUAUCUUACCAGAAAGGGACGGCUAACUACGUG
Molecule: ribosomal RNA, 495 nt
Filed under: uncultured bacterium
Lineage: Bacteria
Description: partial 16S ribosomal RNA
Rfam family: Bacterial small subunit ribosomal RNA
Source: RNAcentral